CCUACGGGUAGCUGCAGCAACGAAUCUUCCCCAAUGCCGGAAACGGUGAGGGAGCGACGCCGCGUGAGGACGAAGUUCUUCGGAAUGUAAACUUCUGUAAGGAUUUUAUUCCAAAUGCUAAAGGGGCGGCUAACUCUGUGCCAGCAGCCGCGGUAAUACAGAGGCCCCAAGCGUUACUGAGAAUCACUGGGUUUAAAGGGUGCGUAGGUGGCGCGUUAAGUUCGUUGUGAAAUCCCUUGGCUCAACCAAGGAACCGCUUCGAAUACUGGCGUGCUUGAGGCUAGUAGGGGUUACUGGAACUGACGGUGGAGCGGUGAAAUGCGUAGAUAUCGUCAGGAACGCCAAUGGUGAAGACAGGUAACUGGCUGUUCUGACACUGAGGCACGAAAGCGUGGGGAGCGAACGGGAUUAGAUACCCUAGUAGUC
Molecule: ribosomal RNA, 426 nt
Filed under: uncultured bacterium
Lineage: Bacteria
Description: partial 16S ribosomal RNA
Rfam family: Bacterial small subunit ribosomal RNA
Source: RNAcentral